AUGUCUGUCACGCCAGCAGGAAUUUUGGCAGCGAAGAAUCCGGCUUUAGCAAAAGAGAUAAAGCACAUGUCAGAGAAGUGGUCAAAACGGACGAGAAAACUAUGCAAUCCGUGGCCAUCUGAAGGCACUUUUGACGUAGUGGCGUGUGAUAAUUUGGAAUUGAGAAUUCAGGAUCAUAAAGCAGAUGGAUCCAAGAAAAGACAGCAGAAAAGAGAAAAAGAAAUUCAGAUCCUGGACUUAUUCAGGAAUGAAGGAAAGAUUUACAGACAGAACUUUAAACAUGCCAUUCUCAAAAUGAAAGACAAAUUGGACAAACCCCAGAAGGAAGUGAAGGCCCCAGCAGAAGAGGGCCUGUAUCCCCUCUUGGGAACCGUUACAAUUACGGGAGAUUUUGAUUUGCGCGACACAUUCGACAAAGGUCCUAAGGGUUUAGAUGUCGACAAUGCAAUUUUAAAAUUAACAACAUCACAGCAAUCAGAUGAAGCACCUGGCAAAGAAAAGCAUGCAAAAGGAAGUGAGGAAAGAGAAUUCGAACAAACAACUCCACCUCGUGGAACGCAUCCAAAAUAUUGCAGUACAGAACGUCGAGCGGUAAGGGAAGAAGGACGAAGGGAGAUUGAUUGUUUUGCAGAACAUAAGGAUUUUUUGAAAAGGCAACCGAAGGCUAACUCAUACUGGAUUGACCUUGAGAACAAGGAUGAGGAUGUACAUGAUGAGCUAAACGAUGUUGACCAAAUUAUACAGGACAUAUCUGAAGGCCUGCGGAAAUCCUUAAAUCACAUCACAGGCACACAUUCAGAUGAGGUUAGUGAGAACACCACUAGCACAAGCAAGGAGAAAAAUUUCAAGCCUUUUUACAAACCAGGCAUUCACUCACCAGAGCGUGGUGACCCAAAUACAGGUCUGACUCAGGAGAAGGAAAAACCAGGUCCUAGCAGUGAAAGCCGUGAGCUGAGACCCAGACAUGACUUAAAACCACCUAUUCGAUACACUAAUGAUGGUCAGUACCCAAUUUUAAUUAAGGGCACAAGAGCUAAUUAUAUUCCCUGGCAGAGCCUCGACCUCACUGGUUUGGUUUCGCGGCUGCCCGAGAUACAAGAUGGCGCUGGAAAGUGGAUUCGGGCCUUCGAACAGGAGACAACUGGGCUAAUGCUUGCCCUUGGAGAUCUCAAAGCUAUUUUGGCUCGAGUUGUUGGGACAUCAGCUAUGGGAACAUUGCUAGCAUCCAAUGGAGUCCAAUGGAUGCUGGACCCAAUGGCUGACGGCACGGAGUUUAACACACACAGAAAUGCACUCUGGAACAUACUAAGAGCAGCAUAUCCCAACAGGAUUGACCCCAAAGCCUUGAAAGGUGAGCCACUUUCAGAGACUGAGAGUCCUGCGUCAUUUGUUGACAGGCAGCUCAGACGGUGGAAGCUGGAGACGGAGGAGGGUCCUGAGGGGACGCCAAUAAUGACUUCUCUGUUCCGAACAUCCCUGAUUUCCACUCUCCCGACUCCUGUGCGAGACAAACUGGAGGAUGUGGUGGGACUGGACUCAAUGCCACAUGCACAGUUCAGAGACCAUGUAGUCCACGCCGUGGACCGCUAUCGGAAAGACAAUAACAAAAUGAUUGAGCAAGAAAAGUGUGCUCAAAGAAAACUCACGCAGCUGCACAUAAAUGAUCUCCAGAGCAAGGCAAAAACUCAGGCAGCAGUGGUGAAAAGUGACAGCCAAGUCCAAGCAUUGCAGACAGCUGUGGCCCCGCCUCAAACUCCAUCUCAACCGGUUAUCAAUGUCUACCCAAACCAGUAUGGUAGACAGCAGCCCGGACCACAGAGACGAUUUCCAAAUCGUUUCCCCAAUCGCUACCCAACUCGACAAGGCUGGGUGCAGCAGAAUCGACCCCCACUUCCAGGUUCAUGUUGGGGGUGUGGCCAGAUGGGUCACCUGUAUCGAGACUGUCCGAAUCCAAUUCCAAACCCUGAAUGGUCUGGGCGUGGUCGUGGAACACGACCAAACCGGGGAAGAGGAGGUCCAGUUAAUCCAUGGGCAGCACAACAAGGAUUCUAG
Long non-coding RNA from Nothobranchius furzeri (turquoise killifish), 2052 nucleotides. NCBI's taxonomy places the organism in Eukaryota, Metazoa, Chordata, Actinopteri, Cyprinodontiformes, Nothobranchiidae. The record is from Ensembl.